Molecule: ribosomal RNA, 497 nt
Filed under: uncultured bacterium
Lineage: Bacteria
Description: partial 16S ribosomal RNA
Rfam family: Bacterial small subunit ribosomal RNA
Source: RNAcentral
GAUGAACGCUGGCGGCGUGCCUAAUACAUGCCAGUCGAGCGAACGGACGAGAAGCUUGCUUUUCUGAUGUUAGCGGCGGACGGGUGAGUAACACGUGGAUAACCUACCUAUAAGACUGGGAUAACUUCGGGAAACCGGAGCUAAUACCGGAUAAUAUUUUGAACCGCAUGGUUCAAAAGUGAAAGACGGUCCUGCUGUCACUUAUAGAUGGAUCCGCGCUGCAUUAGCUAGUUGGUAAGGUAACGGCUUACCAGGGCAACGAUGCAUAGCCGACCUGAGAGGGUGAUCGGCCACACUGGAACUGAGACACGGUCCAGACUCCUACGGGAGGCAGCAGUAGGGAAUCUUCCGCAAUGGGCGAAAGCCUGACGGAGCAACGCCGCGUGAGUGAUGAAGGUCUUCGGAUCGUAAAACUCUGUUAUUAGGGAAGAACAUAUGUGUAAGUAACUGUGCACAUCUUGACGGUACCUAAUCAGAAAGCCACGGCUAACUACGUG